This 253-nucleotide ribosomal RNA is filed under the name uncultured bacterium. RNAcentral's name for it is "partial 16S ribosomal RNA". It matches the Rfam family "Bacterial small subunit ribosomal RNA", at positions 524 to 776 of the family's 1533-position model. The record is from RNAcentral.
UACGUAGGUGACCAGCGUUGUCCGGAUUUAUUGGGCGUAAAGAGCGUGUAGGCGGCCAUGUAGGUCCGGUGUGAAAACUCGAGGCUUAACCUCGAGAUGUCAUCGGAAACCAUUUGGCUAGAGUCCGGAAGAGGAGAGUGGAAUUCCUGGUGUAGCGGUGAAAUGCGCAGAUAUCAGGAAGAACACCAAUGGCGAAAGCAGCUCUCUGGGACGGUACUGACGCUGAGACGCGAAAGCGUGGGGAGCGAACAGG